GAUGAACGCUGGCGGCGUGCCUAAUACAUGCAAGUCGAGCGAACAGACGAGGAGCUUGCUCCUUUGACGUUAGCGGCGGACGGGUGAGUAACACGUGGAUAACCUACCUAUAAGACUGGGAUAACUUCGGGAAACCGGAGCUAAUACCGGAUAACAUGUUGAACCGCAUGGUACAACAGUGAAAGACGGUCUUGCUGUCACUUAUAGAUGGAUCCGCGCCGCAUUAGCUAGUUGGUAAGGUAACGGCUUACCAAGGCAACGAUGCGUAGCCGACCUGAGAGGGUGAUCGGCCACACUGGAACUGAGACACGGUCCAGACUCCUACGGGAGGCAGCAGUAGGGAAUCUUCCGCAAUGGGCGAAAGCCUGACGGAGCAACGCCGCGUGAGUGAAGAAGGUCUUCGGAUCGUAAAACUCUGUUAUUAGGGAAGAACAAAUGUGUAAGUAACUAUGCACGUCUUGACGGUACCUAAUCAGAAAGCCACGGCUAACUACGUG
This 497-nucleotide ribosomal RNA is filed under the name uncultured bacterium. RNAcentral describes it as "partial 16S ribosomal RNA". It matches the Rfam family "Bacterial small subunit ribosomal RNA", at positions 28 to 507 of the family's 1533-position model. The record is from RNAcentral.